GCGAGCGUUGGCGCAUCAGUGAAGACAGGGUUUCCCACUUCUGUUCCUUUGGCUGGGUUAUACUACCUGGGUGGGAACUUUGAAUUGCAAAAGCAAAAGAACGCUUGAAUAGGAAAACUUGAUUCUUUCUCUAGAGACAGCAGUGCACAGGGAUGGGCGUCAUCUUGUGGGAAUGUCAGUUUCCUGGGCACCCACUUCUAUCAACUGCACCUCAGUGGUACGAAGAAACAGGGCUAGGAGACUCGGCAUGAGAGUGACAUCCUUCUAGAAACCUUUUAAAAGCCUGGGUUCAUAUCUGAUUGAGAGAAUACAUUUGGUUUGUAAAUUAAGGUUUUACCAUGUGGAUAGCUCACUUACGCAGCAGUUUCUAGGAGCGCCUAAGCAUGCUUUCAAGAAGGAGUUCUUGGGCUGGAGAGAUGGAUCAGUGGCUACUGGUACAUCCAAGCCUGAUGACCUGAAUUUGAUUCCUGGGACUCACAUGGUAGAAGCAGAGAACCAACUCUCAACAUUGUCGCCUGACCUCUGCGUGUACACCUCCCUCUGUCACAAACGUGACAUCUCUAGGAGCCUUAAUAAGGCAUCUUGCUGCAUGCUUUCUCUUCAUAUGAACUAUGGAUUUCACAAAUUGCAUGAGAACACCUUCUGUGUACAGGACUGAUCUGUACCUUGCCUUUCAGUUCCCUUUAAGGUACACCAAGGACUGUCAGUGUAACUCAGAAGUACUUGAAUAUAAACAAAGGUGAAACAUCUUGGACUCCUACUUUCAGUUUUGGGAAUCUCUACAAUUUGUUAAUUAUUUCCUUCACAUUGACUGAAACUCCCAAUAUUGGAUUAAGCAGGAAAAAGUAUAUAUGAAAAACUCCAGUUUUUUUUUUUUUUUAAUCAGGAAGGAGAAUUAAAAUAUAAAUGGAGAAGUGAAUCUUCUGUGAGCUAAUGACAUCCAUCUUAAAAUGCAGAGGGAAGCUCUCAUUGGAAUUGGCUAGCUUGGGUUGCUUUCAGCUACAGCAUGUUUCCAUUCAUCAGUAGAAGAACGUAACUCUUUGUUUAAUGUAAUUACAUCCUGAAGCCUGGCAAAUUACUUACACUGUUAAGGCAUUGUACUUCCUGUGUUAGGGGAGUUGCUGCCAUUGACAUUGAUUGACAACUACUGUUAAUCCUGUAGACAGUUAAAUACAGCAGGCGUCUGGAUUGUUGAGGCUUUGCAUUAUGAUGGUAUAUGGUUAAGAUCUUUGUAUUGAGACAAUCUUUUUGUCUUAUAAUGACAGUCACAGAUCGCUCUGAUGUCUGUGAAGUAAAUAAAUAUUCCAUUUAACAGCC
Molecule: long non-coding RNA, 1317 nt
Organism: Meriones unguiculatus (Mongolian gerbil)
Lineage: Eukaryota; Metazoa; Chordata; Mammalia; Rodentia; Muridae
Exons: 2
Source: RefSeq, a predicted model, not a curated record